This 324-nucleotide long non-coding RNA is filed under the name Penaeus japonicus. Its description in RNAcentral is "uncharacterized LOC122260296". The record is from RNAcentral. Lineage: Eukaryota; Metazoa; Arthropoda; Malacostraca; Decapoda; Penaeidae.
AUGAAAUACAUAAAAAAGAUAAAGAAUUUCCUUAAACAUUCGAGACUAGUGAACAGCAUAAAAGCGGACAGGGCCCCUGGCCACGCCAACAGCUGUUCGUCCUCCGACACGAACGGUUCUCGACGAUGUUCAAGCAGAUUUUGCUCGUGGUCCUCGUGCUGUCGUCGAUGCUAGCUCUUGCUGUGGGAAGCGUCGAUGGCGACUCACCAUCCCCGAGGUCCGCUAGGUUUGCUCCCGUAUUGCCUUGGGCUGAAGCCCCUUGAAGCGCGACGCUGAGUUCAGCGGCAAUCGGAUGCUGCUGUGCUGAAUAAAUGCUGACUGGGA